UGGGGAAUAUUGGACAAUGGGCGCAAGCCUGAUCCAGCCAUGCCGCGUGUGUGAAGAAGGCCUUCGGGUUGUAAAGCACUUUAAGCGAGGAGGAAAGUUUAUAGGUUAAUACCCUAUAGAAUUGACGUUACUCGCAGAAUAAGCACCGGCUAACUCUGUGCCAGCAGCCGCGGUAAUACAGAGGGUGCAAGCGUUAAUCGGAAUUACUGGGCGUAAAGCGCGCGUAGGCGGUUUGUUAAGUCGGAUGUGA
Molecule: ribosomal RNA, 250 nt
Filed under: uncultured bacterium
Lineage: Bacteria
Description: partial 16S ribosomal RNA
Rfam family: Bacterial small subunit ribosomal RNA
Source: RNAcentral